This 781-nucleotide long non-coding RNA is filed under the name Camarhynchus parvulus. RNAcentral describes it as "lncRNA (ENSCPVG00000016776.1)". The record is from RNAcentral. Lineage: Eukaryota; Metazoa; Chordata; Aves; Passeriformes; Thraupidae.
UCGUACCUGUCUGCGUUCUGCUGGAUGGCGCUGCAGGGUGUGCACCUGUGUCACCUGUGUCCCUGUGUGUCCUUGUGUCCCUGUGUGUCCUGUGUGUCACCUGUGUAUCACCUGUGUGUCCUCAAUGUGUCCCUGUGUGUCCCCAGGUGUCCUGCACAGUGACAGCGGUGGCCCUGCACCUGUCGUACCUGUCGGCGUUCUGCUGGAUGGCGCUGCAGGGCGUUCACCUGUACGUGCUGCUGGUGCAGGUGUUCGCCCCGGCCUGGCUGCGCCCGCGGCCGCUCCUGGCCCUGGGCUACGGCCCCGCCGCGGCCAUCGUGGCUGUGUCAGCGGCGGCGUUCCCGCAGGGAUACGGCACUGAUCAAUAGCCAACGCCGCCAUCCUCGUUGUCACCCUCUGGAAGUUGGUGCAGAAAUUCCACGAGGUCACCCCGGACAUGGGGACCCUGCGCCGGGCACGGGUGCUGUGGGUGACGUCACUGGGCCAGCUCUCCCUGCUGGGCUCUGGUUGGGCGCUGGGCGUGGGGGCGGGGCUGGGCUGGGCGGGGGGGGGGGCCGCCCCUCCCCCGGCAGCGCCCCCCCGCCCCUCCCCCUCCUGUUCUGCGCCGUCAACGCCGCGCAGGGGCUGCUGAUCUUCCUGUGCCACUGCCUGGGGCACCCCAAGGUACCGAAAUCCCCCAAAUUCACCCCAGAAAUGGAACCGCGAUCCUAAAAAACCCCAACGUCCCAAAAAACCCCGAAAAAAUCCCCCAAAAACCCCAAAAAUGGGACCAAAAAUACCC